This 725-nucleotide ribosomal RNA is filed under the name uncultured bacterium. RNAcentral's name for it is "bacterial SSU rRNA". It matches the Rfam family "Bacterial small subunit ribosomal RNA", at positions 771 to 1501 of the family's 1533-position model. The record is from RNAcentral.
AACAGGAUUAGAUACCCUGGUAGUCCACGCCCUAAACGAUGUCAACUAGCUGUUGGGGCCUUCGGGCCUUGGUAGCGCAGCUAACGCGUGAAGUUGACCGCCUGGGGAGUACGGUCGCAAGAUUAAAACUCAAAGGAAUUGACGGGGACCCGCACAAGCGGUGGAUGAUGUGGAUUAAUUCGAUGCAACGCGAAAAACCUUACCUACUCUUGACAUGUCUGGAAUUCCGAAGAGAUUUGGAAGUGCUCGUAAGAGAACCGGAACACAGGUGCUGCAUGGCUGUCGUCAGCUCGUGUCGUGAGAUGUUGGGUUAAGUCCCGCAACGAGCGCAACCCUUGCCAUUAAUUGCUACGAAAGGGCACUCUAAUGAGACUGCCGGUGACAAACCGGAGGAAGGUGGGGAUGACGUCAAGUCCUCAUGGCCCUUAUGGGUAGGGCUUCACACGUCAUACAAUGGUCGGGACAGAGGGUCGCCAACCCGCGAGGGGGAGCCAAUCCCGGAAACCCGAUCGUAGUCCGGAUCGCAGUCUGCAACUCGACUGCGUGGAGUCGGAAUCGCUAGUAAUCGCGGAUCAGCAUGUCGCGGUGAAUACGUUCCCGGGUCUUGUACACACCGCCCGUCACACCAUGGGAGUGGGUUUUACCAGAAGUAGUUAGCCUAACCGCAAGGGGGGCGAUUACCACGGUAGAAUUCAUGACUGGGGUGAAGUCGUAACAAGGUAACC